Balaenoptera musculus (blue whale) is the source of this 646-nucleotide long non-coding RNA. RefSeq lists it as uncharacterized. The record is from RefSeq and is a predicted model, not a curated record. Lineage: Eukaryota; Metazoa; Chordata; Mammalia; Artiodactyla; Balaenopteridae. The transcript is spliced from 3 exons.
CCCUGCGUCUCCCGCCGCGACUCCCACCUCGGCCCCAAGUUCACUUUCAGCCUUCAGAGGCCCCGUGGGCUCCUCACCGUUCUACCCCGGCUCACCAUGUGAGCAAAAACACAUCCCGAGCCCUACGGUCGUGGGGCUUAAACUAUGCUGGGGCGACGGGCCAGUGCACGUUGGCCAUUGCCGUGAGUGCUCUGAGGACCGGCCCACGGAGCUGACGCCAAGUAAGGGAGGCCUCUGGUCUGGUCCUUGGGCCCCAGAGGCUCGCCUAGGGAAGCGAUAUUUGAGCUGAGCCUUGAGGGAGUACCGGAGAGGCAAGUGGGUCUGAUGAGGUCGGUGGAUGCCCUCUACACCUGAGAAGCUCUUUGAGGUCAAGGAUCCACCAAAGAGUUCUGCACUGUGCUUUGCUGAGAUAAGCACUGGGUUUUCAGUGAAACUGGAUUGGAUUCAAAUCUCACCUCUGCCUUCUGUGAAUCUGUGACCUGAGGAACUACCUAGGUCAUACAGUGAUAUUCUUAAGAUGGCAUUGUAGAAACUCAGCAGCUGACAGCAAUGGCCCAAGAGUCCUGCAAAUCCAAAGUCAGCAUCCAGAAAUGGUGACCCUUCUAACACCACUCUCAUUCGAAGGCUCAAUGAUCUCAUCUUUGAA